GACGAACGCUGGCGGCGUGCCUAAUACAUGCAAGUAGAACGCACAGUUUAUACCGUAGCUUGCUACACCAUAGACUGUGAGUUGCGAACGGGUGAGUAACGCGUAGGUAACCUGCCUGGUAGCGGGGGAUAACUAUUGGAAACGAUAGCUAAUACCGCAUAAUAUUGAUUAUUGCAUGAUAAUUAAUUGAAAGGUGCAAUUGCACCACUACCAGAUGGACCUGCGUUGUAUUAGCUAGUAGGUGAGGUAACGGCUCACCUAGGCGACGAUACAUAGCCGACCUGAGAGGGUGAUCGGCCACACUGGGACUGAGACACGGCCCAGACUCCUACGGGAGGCAGCAGGAGGGAAUCUUCGGCAAUGGACGAAAGUCUGACCGAGCAACGCCGCGGGAGUGAAGAAGGGUUUCGGAUCGUAAAGCUCUGUUGUAAGAGAAGAACGGGUGUGAGAGUGGAAAGUUCACACUGUGACGGUAUCUUACCAGAAAGGGACGGCUAACUACGUG
RNAcentral lists this ribosomal RNA (505 nucleotides) under uncultured bacterium. Its description in RNAcentral is "partial 16S ribosomal RNA". It matches the Rfam family "Bacterial small subunit ribosomal RNA", at positions 28 to 507 of the family's 1533-position model. The record is from RNAcentral.